This is a long non-coding RNA of Heterocephalus glaber (naked mole-rat), 3131 nucleotides long. NCBI's taxonomy places the organism in Eukaryota, Metazoa, Chordata, Mammalia, Rodentia, Bathyergidae. The record is from Ensembl.
CUUCCCCACCCACUGAGACAGGAGUAAUAAGCCUGGUUGGGGGUGCUGGUUAGGAGUUCCUUUCAGAAAGCCGUUACCCUCUGCAGAGCAGAGAUGAUGUCUUCGCUUAUUUGGGGGUGAAGUGGGUGAGGGGGACUGGGGAAUGGACCCAGGACCUUCACACUGAGCUACAUCCUCAGGCCCUUUUUAUUUUUAAGACAGGGUCUCAUCAAGUCUCCCAAGUUGCCCAGAUGGCCUCAAAUUCGCAAUUCUCUUGCCUCAGCCUCCCAGGGAGAUGAUAUCUUCUGCCCAACUGAGUUCUUAGUUUAGGACCCGGGACUCAACUCCCAGCUCAAUCCCCACCUUUCUUUGCCCUGUGGAAAAGGGCAGGCCUGGAAUGGGGUGUGGCCAGUGCAGAGCAGUGUGCAGAAACAGCAACGGACAGAGCCCUAAGUGUCUCCUUCCGAGAUGGAAACGAUCAGUGAUUGAAGACAGGAUUGCCCGGGUCUGCGGUUGUUGUCAACAGCAACCUGCUGAUUAACACUUCGACGAUCACAGCUGCCAUUCACCAGCUCAAGCAGUGAGCUCUUGCACAAAGAAUGAAGCUGAAGUUCUGAAGUUACAAGGUAGAAAAGGAGGUAAUGGAGAAAUCUUAUAGAGGGAUCCAGAAGAACCCUGCACUGAGGGAAUAAUCAGAAAAUAUUUGCACCAGAUUUGGCACCAUGUGACUCCUGGCUCUUCCCCAAAGUCAAAACGACCAUGAAAAGUAAACGUUUGGAAUCAAUCUAGGACAUUGAGGCAGCUAUCACAGUGAAAUCAGACACUCAUGAAAAAAGACUCCCUGAACUGCCUCGGAAAUUGGCAAGAACAGUGGACUAAGUGUGUUUAGAGUGAAGGGGGAGGGUUAGGAGGGGGAUUAAUGGCCACGUGUCUUUUACUAUAAAACAAUUUUGAAAAUUCAAACAUUCAUCGAAUCUUCUGCUCACAGCCUGAAAGUUUACAGUGAGGAUGGAGGAAGAAACUGUACUUUGUUGUGACAGGCCUGGCUGAGGAGCAGCACCCUGCAAGCGCUGGCUCUUGUUCUUUCCUUCAAUGGUGCUGUCUUGUCUGCCUUAGCAGACUGCAAGCUUCAUAGAGCAAACAGCCAUCUUCUGUCAGUGGGUACCACAGCAGCCGUCUGUUUUUCACUACGAAAAUCCCGGUCAGGAGGCCGUCCCGUGUCUCUUUUCAAAGUGGCCACAGUGACCCCAGCUCCUUCCAGUCCCGGAAACCACUGUCCUCAACAUGUGGCCUCCAGGGUUCGAAAAGAAGAGGAGAGGAAGAUUCCAAGCCAAGCCUGAAAGUGGACACACAGUUUUUGCUCACAUACUGUUGCCAGAAUUAAUCUAUGACUCACCUACAUGGAGGCUUCUGUGUGCCUAGCAAGAGAAGGAAAUGGUUUGGUUAAUACAGCGUCGGCUCUGUCAUCACAGGCAAGAGUGGAUCCCUAAAGGAGAAUUGGGGUGACAGAACUGGGAGGGGGUGGAUGCUGAGCAGGAAGACACACCUGAUGGGGGACCCUCCGGUAGCCACAGCUUGCUUCCAAGGCCCAAGUGUCCCUUCCCUAGAUAACAAUCAUCACUUUCAUCUCAAGAAAAAUGGCUUCCCAAAGGGUGCAGUGCAGCCAUUUACAGGAGCCUCCACGGAUUCUGCCUGGAUCUCAGAGCUGUCACGGACACAGGCCAGCUCCUGACACAAUUGUCCUCUGUGUUUCCUUCCUCAGUUCCCUCCAUCAAGGGCAUAUUUGGCAUGGAGCAAAGCUCUAUAGGUGACCGUUUGUGGAGUUUCCCCCAACCCAGGCGCCCAAGGGCCAGGCCAAGAGAGUAGAGAAUGGAUCACGUGAGGUCUCAGUGAGGAGGAAAAGGCAGCCUGUAAGCCGGUCGUUGGGACCAGUGCCAUGACCAGCCAUCAGCCACAACAUGCACCGGCAGGAGGAUGUGGCCACUGAGGGCUUGGAAAGACUUCCCAAGGGCUUCCUUCAGAAGCAUUAAAAGUGAAAACAGAAUUUUAAAAAGUGAAGUCUGACCUGCAGAGGAGUAGUUCGAGUCCUUGUGAGUCCUUGUGAAUCUCGGGCCUGCUUGGUCUCCAGAGCUCUAAUCUCAUCUUGGAAUUUAAACUUCUUACAUAAGCUGCUUUGGAGCUAAGGUGACCAGAGGUCUUGCUUCUCUGGUCCCAGUCUUUGUGCCUCCUCUGUAGGUGUCUUAAAAUCAGUUUUUAGGGAUUCAUUUGCCAAUCGGAUGUGGGGUUGAUUAUUGAAAAGCUAUGAUUCACACAGGAAGUCUUAUUGCACUUCCUCUUCCUUGUCCCCAGCUCCUGUCUUCUCCACCCCAUCCUGGACUCCGCAUUCUGCCCCUCAGGUCCUACAGAGAUAAACCGUCCCUUGCCUGGCCGCAUUCCUGUCUUCUCUUGCCUUUCCCCUCUUUGGUGACAGUCAGACACCAAAUAGUCUCUGCCCACAGUAUUUGUUGGUUUGGAAUGGCAGUUCGCACAGACUUCCAGUAGAUGGCAGCAGUGGACGAGCCACGCAGGCGGGAGUUUCGGAACCUGGAAGCGGCGCGACCCGAAGUGGGCUCCCAGCAAGCCCGGGCUGCGUGCGCUUCCAUCCGGUCUGGGUGACUCCAAGUGCGCAGUUAUCUACAAACGUGAAGUUUGGGGUGUAGAUUUAGCAAGUCACUGGACAGUUUGAUUAUUCGGACCCAGGCCACAUUAAGAUGCUCUUUCUAUGAGAGGAAGAUAACCCGGUUAUCAAGGGGCCACGAGCAGACACCGUGAGAACUGGGCCCUUUACAUCUGCACAGCGAGGGAGGCCUAUGAAGGUGCUGUCCUUCCAGUGACCGGUCAAACUGGCCACACUUCCCUCCUGCCCAGCAUAGGAUGAUGGGACAGUGGGAUGUCACCCAGCACGCUGCGAGUCCCACGGCAGAGAGGCCGUCUGUUCACUUCCACAUCCCAAGUCGGUCGAGGCGUUUUUGCAAGUACCGGGGAUUGAACUCAGGACCUUGCACUUGCAAGGCAGACACAUUGCCACUGAACUAAAUCCCUGGCUGAGUUAUCUUUUUUCUAUAAUGUAUUUGCAAAUAUUCUCUGAUUAUCAUUUGUUUCUUUAAAGUGUG